Molecule: long non-coding RNA, 1372 nt
Organism: Limulus polyphemus (Atlantic horseshoe crab)
Lineage: Eukaryota; Metazoa; Arthropoda; Merostomata; Xiphosura; Limulidae
Exons: 2
Source: RefSeq, a predicted model, not a curated record
UUGAAUUGAUUAAACCUAAUAUGUCUUGUCUAAUUAGAUGUUUACAUUUUAGGUCCUUCUUUCAUUUUUUGACCAGCGUUUGUGCAAUUAUUGGUGGUGUCUUCACAGUGGCCAGUCUGAUAGAUUCCGUUGUGUACCACUCAUCCAGAGCAAUCCAGAAGAAGAUAGAACUUGGCAAACUGAACUGAUUCUUCUCUCAAGAUUUUAGAAAAAAAAAAAGUUAUUUUUACCCAUUUGUUUUUUUAAUAACUAUAUCAAAUUUCAAUAUAACAUUUCUUCCAUAUCUGAAAGUAUUUUAUAUUGCAAUACACAAAGGAAUAAAAAUAAACAUUAUAAAAUCCUAUGUAUUAUUAGUAUAAUCUACCUUUAUUGCUGAUGUUGUACAAAAUACAGCCAUAGUCAACCAGGCCUAUUUAAUACUAGCAGUCACUUUUAUCUCAAUAAUCAUAGAGUCUGCUUAAGGGAAGUGUUUUAAGCUCUUAGGACAAAUGUCAGUAGGGGGUGUGAACUGAUGUCAGGCUUUAUACUGUGAUUUUCUUCCUAACAAGAUUCUGAUGUAUAUAUAUAUCUCCACACUGACAAAUUUGUUGUUUGUAGACCAACCACCAACUCAAAGGCCUAGUGAAAAAUGAAUUGUUAUCAAACCCUCAACUUGUACUUUUCAUCAAAUUUUCAACUUUGCCUAAAACAAACAAACUUGUUUUCUGUUAGUAACCAGACCAUCCGCUUGUUCAAGUUCUGUUUGCCAUAUUGUAUUUCUAGAAAAGUAAAUAUAUAAAGAUGAUAAUAGAAAAGAACCUUCUGCUGACAAUAAAAAUGGUUGACUUAGAAACUAUGAUAACGUAGAAGUUAAAAAAAAAGGUAAAACAUUUUCAUAAGAAACCUAUACUUACUUUCUUAGUGGGUACUUGAAAACAAAAAAUUGACUGAGAUUUAUAGUGAUAAUGUUGGUGUAGAAAUUUUAAAAUUUAUCAAAAUAAUUUUACAUAAUACUAUCAGGUAUGAAAAAAGUUUGUUUUUAAAUGUUAUAAUCACAACUAUAAAGUAAAUGAAAUUUAAAAUGUGUUCAAAAGGGAUACAUAAACUACCAUUAAUAUUAAACACUUAACAUAAUCUCUAGAUGUUGUAUUAUAAAAACGUAUCAUUAUUUUUAUACCCAUUUUUUUUCUUACUUCUCCUCGCUAUCAUUUUAAUAUUAAUGAGGUAUCUGACAGAAUAAAUCUUUUAUUGUCUGUCUGUUAGUGGAUUGAUAUAAACAAUUUUGUAUACUCGUGUAUUUAUAUAUAUAUAUAUAAAAGUGUAAAUGCAAAUCUGUAAACUUUUCAGUAUUCUUUCUGUUAUCUUAUCCAAUGAAUAAAUUCCUUAACAUGCA